RNAcentral lists this ribosomal RNA (425 nucleotides) under uncultured Flavobacteriia bacterium. RNAcentral's name for it is "bacterial SSU rRNA". It matches the Rfam family "Bacterial small subunit ribosomal RNA", at positions 355 to 776 of the family's 1533-position model. Lineage: Bacteria; Pseudomonadati; Bacteroidota; Flavobacteriia. The record is from RNAcentral.
UGAGGAAUAUUGCGCAAUGGACGAAAGUCUGACGCAGCCAUGCCGCGUGCAGGAUUGAAGGCCCUAUGGGUUGUAAACUGCUUUUGUACGGGAAUAAACCUUUCCUCGUGAGGAAAGCUGAAGGUACCGUAAGAAUAAGCACCGGCUAACUCCGUGCCAGCAGCCGCGGUAAUACGGAGGGUGCAAGCGUUAUCCGGAUUUAUUGGGUUUAAAGGGUCCGUAGGCGGAUCGUUAAGUCAGUGGUGAAAGCCCAUAGCUCAACUAUGGAACUGCCAUUGAUACUGGCGAUCUUGAGUAUAAUUGAAGUGGGCGGAAUGUGUGGUGUAGCGGUGAAAUGCUUAGAUAUCACACAGAACACCGAUUGCGAAGGCAGCUCACUAAUUUGUAACUGACGCUGAGGGACGAAAGUGUGGGGAUCAAACAGG